AGUGGUGUUCUUUCCAGCGUAAACCGUGUCAAAGCCCAUUUGAAGAGCGAAGUUGUAACGCACCUUAUUCUUUAAAACAAUGUCGUUUUGGCGCAACAGUUUUAGGUUAAAACCAGUAAAGUCAAUUGAAUUUAAGUUGUAGUCAUUAAACAAGGAAGCCACAUUAUCGGCAAUGUUCAAACCACGGGGAGUUAACCGCGGAAAGUAAUCUUCCUGAAAGAAACUAAAGAAGUUUUCCGGCACUUUAGGGACAGUAAGCAUUGUCCUCUACGGGAAAGAUUUCGUUUGCCGCAUUAACUCGUUUUUGCAAGUCAUUGGCUACAUUAACUAAACUGCGUGCUGUUUGUUCAAAACCACUAAAGAGGUUGUAAACAUCUGUAAGUGUAAAAUGCUCUGGGUCAAUUGCUCGUUGGGCAAACCGUUUUUGGAAUUCACCAAAGUUUUGCGCUCAGUUAGUUUGCUUGGAAAGGUUUUCAUACUCAGCGUUACUUAAAGCAGUUUGCGCUUCAAUAAGAAUUUCUUACUGUUAUGCUUUUCAAAGCUACUGCUGUUUAAACUUACAGUUUGUGGAUCAGUAGCUGAGCCAUUUUGGGAAAAAGUGGGUACCACAAAAACACUAAAAGUUAGUGUUGCUGAAAGGAGCGAAAGCAAAAAUGAUUGCGUCUUGAAGUGGAAACUUUUAGUUGGUUUCAAUGUAAAGGUGUCAGUGUGACAGAAAAAGAUUGGUUUACUUUUAAAAAGUGAAAACUAAGACGACAGGGAAAAUUUAAAUUUAAUAAAUUUUAGUUUUUUCACCGAACAAAAAACGGUUUCAUCGGAAAAUGAAGCAUAAACGGCUCAAACAACUUUAAGAAUGUUUAAUGAUGCCUUGAUUACUGUUGAUUUAACUUCAACAGUUGGUAGUGUAAAUAACUCGCUAAAUCCACUACUGGCGGCUUUGUGGACUCGGUACGUAGUUCUAAGUUAUGGAGGUUUUGUGACUUAAUUAAUUCCAUGAAUUCUGGCUCUUGC
Molecule: small RNA, 1011 nt
Filed under: Mycoplasmoides pneumoniae M129
Lineage: Bacteria; Bacillati; Mycoplasmatota; Mycoplasmoidales; Mycoplasmoidaceae
Description: Mycoplasma pneumoniae M129 ncRNA
Source: RNAcentral